UACGGAGGGUGCAAGCGUUAUCCGGAUUCACUGGGUUUAAAGGGUGCGUAGGUGGGUUGGUAAGUCAGUGGUGAAAUCUCCGGGCUCAACCUGGGAAUGGCAAUGGAUACUGGCAGGCUAGAGUGCGGUAGAGGGUAGUGGAAUUCCCGGUGUAGCGGUGAAAUGCGCAGAUAUCAGGAGGAACACCGGUGGCGAAGGCGGGUCUCUGGGCCGAUGACUGACGCUGAGGAGCGAAAGCGUGGGGAGCGAACAGG
This 254-nucleotide ribosomal RNA is filed under the name uncultured bacterium. RNAcentral describes it as "partial 16S ribosomal RNA". It matches the Rfam family "Bacterial small subunit ribosomal RNA", at positions 524 to 776 of the family's 1533-position model. The record is from RNAcentral.